Molecule: ribosomal RNA, 280 nt
Filed under: uncultured cyanobacterium
Lineage: Bacteria; Bacillati; Cyanobacteriota
Description: partial 16S ribosomal RNA
Rfam family: Bacterial small subunit ribosomal RNA
Source: RNAcentral
CCUACGGGGGGCAGCAGUGGGGAAUUUUCCGCAAUGGGCGAAAGCCUGACGGAGCAACGCCGCGUGAGGGAUGAAGGCCUCUGGGCUGUAAACCUCUUUUCUCAAGGAAGAAGAUCUGACGGUACUUGAGGAAUAAGCCACGGCUAAUUCCGUGCCAGCAGCCGCGGUAAUACGGGAGUGGCAAGCGUUAUCCGGAAUUAUUGGGCGUAAAGCGUCCGCAGGCGGCCCUGUAAGUCUGUCGUUAAAGCGUGGAGCUUAACUCCAUUUGAGCGAUGGAAAC